This 971-nucleotide ribosomal RNA is filed under the name uncultured bacterium. RNAcentral's name for it is "bacterial SSU rRNA". It matches the Rfam family "Bacterial small subunit ribosomal RNA", at positions 47 to 992 of the family's 1533-position model. The record is from RNAcentral.
CUUUAAUGCAAGUCGAACGGCAGCGCGGACUUCGGUCUGGCGGCGAGUGGCGAACGGGUGAGUAAUGUAUCGGAACGUGCCCAGUAGCGGGGGAUAACUACNCGAAAGCGUGGCUAAUACCGCAUACGCCCUUAUGGGGAAAGCGGGGGACCUUCGGGCCUCNCACUAUUGGAGCGGCCGAUAUCGGAUUAGCUAGUUGGUGGGGUAAAGGCCUACCAAGGCGACGAUCCGUAGCUGGUUUGAGAGGACGACCAGCCACACUGGGACUGAGACACGGCCCAGACUCCUACGGGAGGCAGCAGUGGGGAAUUUUGGACAAUGGGGGCAACCCUGAUCCAGCCAUCCCGCGUGUGCGAUGAAGGCCUUCGGGUUGUAAAGCACUUUUGGCAGGAAAGAAACGGCUCUGGUUAAUACCUGGGGCAACUGACGGUACCUGCAGAAUAAGCACCGGCUAACUACGUGCCAGCAGCCGCGGUAAUACGUAGGGUGCAAGCGUUAAUCGGAAUUACUGGGCGUAAAGCGUGCGCAGGCGGUUCGGAAAGAGAGAUGUGAAAUCCCAGGGCUUAACCUUGGAACUGCAUUUUUAACUACCGGGCUAGAGUGUGUCAGAGGGAGGUGGAAUUCCGCGUGUAGCAGUGAAAUGCGUAGAGAUGCGGAGGAACACCGAUGGCNAAGGCAGCCUCCUGGGAUAACACUGACNCUCAUGCACGAAAGCGUGGGUAGCCAAACAGGAUUAGAUACCCUGGUAGUCCACGCCCUAAACGAUGUCAACUAGCUGUUGGGGGCUUUCCGCUCUUGGUAGCGCCAGCUAACGCCGUGAAGUUUGACCGCCCUGGGGAAGUACCNGUCCCCAAGAAUUAAAACUCNAAGGAAUUUGACCGGGGGANCCCNCCCCAAGCCGGUGGNAUGAUGUGGAUUAANUUCCCAUGCCAACCCCGAAAAACCCUUACCNUACCCCCUUGACNUUGUUC